UAAAAAUUAGUAUCCUCUCUAUAAAUAGUGCCUUUUUCCAAUCCAGAUUGCCGCUCAAACCCUAAGCGCUCAUUGUGUGGUUUUGGUGUGAAUCUCUGCUCCCUUUGCCAGAUUUGGAUUGGUUGGUUCGGGUCGGGUGUUCCUCGUUGAUUCAGGU
Long non-coding RNA from Rosa chinensis, 157 nucleotides. RefSeq lists it as uncharacterized. The transcript has 2 exons. The record is from RefSeq and is a predicted model, not a curated record. Lineage: Eukaryota; Viridiplantae; Streptophyta; Magnoliopsida; Rosales; Rosaceae.